Long non-coding RNA from Triticum dicoccoides, 128 nucleotides. RefSeq lists it as uncharacterized. NCBI's taxonomy places the organism in Eukaryota, Viridiplantae, Streptophyta, Magnoliopsida, Poales, Poaceae. The transcript is spliced from 3 exons. The record is from RefSeq and is a predicted model, not a curated record.
UGAGGAUAGAGGGCCAUGGAUCUGGAUGUGGAGAUUGUGAAAGUCCAUGUGACGUUCGUGUCAAGAUGAGCGGCCGUUCCUGCUGACAUUGUGUCAACUAGAUGAAUUUUAGGUGCUCUUUUGUCAGA